Molecule: ribosomal RNA, 109 nt
Filed under: uncultured bacterium
Lineage: Bacteria
Description: partial 16S ribosomal RNA
Rfam family: Bacterial small subunit ribosomal RNA
Source: RNAcentral
CCCGUCACGCCAUGGAAGCUGUGAGUGCCCGAAGUCGGUGCCGCAACCGCAAGGAGCAAGCCGCCGAAGGCAAGCGCAGUGACUGGGGCGAAGUCGUAACAAGGUACCC